AAAGAGGCCGGGUAUGGUGAAGAGAUAAUUAAUUUUUUAUUCAAAAUUUUAUUUUCCAUGCAUUUGUACAGGGAAUCUAUAUACAUUUGAGGUGAGCGGCAGAUUUAAUUUUGAAGAAGGGUGACUUUCAGAUGUUGUGAUGAAGAUUGUUGAAAGGGAUUAUCAGCAUAAAACCAAUCCAUAUGAAUGUGCAAAUCAGAAAAAAGGAAUGUGGAGCUAAUGCAUGCUGCUAAGGAUGGAAAGGUCGUGUGUUUAUUGGUUGUGCCUGAGACACCAGUCACAGUUGUACCUUAUUUCCGUUUUAGGGAGUCUAGAUACAUUUGAGGUGAGCGGCAGAUUUAAUUUUGAAGAAAGGUGACUUUCAGAUGUUGUGAUGAAGAUUGUUGAAAGGGAUUAUCAGCAUA
Long non-coding RNA from Saccostrea cuccullata (small rock oyster), 404 nucleotides. RefSeq lists it as uncharacterized. Lineage: Eukaryota; Metazoa; Mollusca; Bivalvia; Ostreida; Ostreidae. The transcript has 3 exons. The record is from RefSeq and is a predicted model, not a curated record.